RNAcentral lists this transfer RNA (75 nucleotides) under Tenericutes bacterium ADurb.Bin024. RNAcentral's name for it is "tRNA-Trp". It matches the Rfam family "tRNA". Rfam says of the family: Transfer RNA (tRNA) molecules are approximately 80 nucleotides in length. Their secondary structure includes four short double-helical elements and three loops (D, anti-codon, and T loops). Lineage: Bacteria; Bacillati; Mycoplasmatota. The record is from RNAcentral.
UGGGAGUGUAGUUUAAUAGUAAAACAACAGUUUCCAAAACUGCAAGAUAAGAGUUCAAACCUUUUCACUCCUGUC